AUGAAGAUAGUUCAUUCCCCUAGCGAUAUCAAGAGAAAAUCUCCAAAUUUUGGAUGGAGAAAGACGCCCCUUCUUCUGAAGAUAACUUGCGAAGUCACCUUUUGGAUGAUACUCUAAGACAAUCAUCAUGGGUAUAUUUUGGGUAACAGCCCCAACAAACUGAACCACAUUAGGAUGUCUGACCUUCUGUAAUAAGGUUAGCUCUUGUUUGAAAGCAUUUCUGUAAUAUAAACAAAGAUGAGGGAGAGAAGAUUGAAAUUAAUAUAUACUCUUAAAGCCAUGAAUAAUAAAUUCUACAGUUCUUUGGAACAGAAGAAAUUCAAAUAAAUUACUGCAGAGCAACUCUAGCAGCAAAAAUUUAGUGUGCUGGGCCACUUAUUAAAUAACAUUUUUACGAAAAAUACAGUUAUUAUUUAUUUGAAUACCCAUACAUAAACAAAAUAAUUGGACAUAGGCAACCAACAAAAGAUAAUAAAAAUGAUUUCCGUUGCUUAAAGAAAGUAAAUUCUAAUGGCAUAUCCUGACAUAUUGACAGUAGUAGAUAUAAUUACUGGGACAAUAAACAAUCAUAUUCUUUUGCACAAACUGAAGAAGAAAGGACUCAGGCAGGCCAGUCCAACAUGAAGAAAGACAGGCAUAUGCACAUUUUUAUUAGAAAGAAACUGAUGACAGGUUUACAACUGAAACUGCAAACUUAAUUGAAAAUAUACUGCAUUAUGAAGUUGUUGAUCAAGAGAUUCCAUUACAAACCAAAAAGAACACCUGAAUUUUUUUUUUAAGUUUCUUGGUAUCAGGGCCUGAGUUUAUCAAAGCCAUAACCACCAACUGGGAUUACUGUAACUCUUCUAUGUCAUGGAACAUCUAUAAUCAAGCUAAAAUGAAUCAAAGGUUAGCUGGUACUUGCUUCCAAAAAUAUCCCUAACUUUUCUUGUAAAUUUAUACAAGAAAAUUUUGUUAGUGGGGAGCAUUAUAUAUAAAUGUAAUUUAGAAAUUUUUUUCCCUAAACAAGUCUAUAACGGAAGAAAAUACAAAAUAUAUGAUAGUAUCCACUUAUUUUAUAUGUAGAUUACACCUGUUCGGUGUUUUUGGUCCAUCACAAAUUAAAUUUAGGCAAGACAAAUAUGUAGAUCUAUAUCUUCCCCCUCAUUUUGUCUUCCAUACAUGUGUAUAUGUAUUUACAUGAAAUUAUUUGACAUAAGAGGUUUAGAUUUGAUUUUAAUGAAAACUGACUUUCGAUUUGUUCAAUUAUAUUCGUAAAUAAACAUUAAUUCACAAAUGUAUUUAAUCACUCAUUUAAAAUGUGUUUAAAAUAACAUAUUUUUUUAUAAGGUAUUUCAAAUAUAUAUAACUUCAUGGCUUUUCAUUAAGCACAAGAUUAUUAUAAUUCAAAUUUAAUACAUGAGCAAUUUAAUUUUAUGAAAGUAAAUGGACAAUAUUUACGAAAAAAAAUUAUGGAAGCACAUAUCUAUGUUUGGGGUAAAGAUAUCUUUAAAAGUGGGGACAAAUUUUAAUUAUUACAUGAAACAAAAAAUUUAAUAUAUUUAAAAGAAAAUUGUGGGGCCUGUGGGGCAAGUGCCCCCACUGCCCCACCAUAGAUCUGUCCCUGUUUACGGCAUGUCAUAAAUCAAACUUACAAGUAUUAUGGUGUAGUGCCUCAUGUGAAGAAAACAUUAACAAGCAGGAAGUGAUUGAAGCGGAUUCCCAUAUUCCCCAUGCACCAAAAUAAUAAUUAAAGCAGAUGUACUAAAAUUGAAUUCUAAUGCAACAUUGUCAUAUAGACAGGAAUCAAAAUUUGGAAUAGAGGGCUUUCGUCACAAUAAAAAGGAUAGAUAAUUCUCCUAACUACAAAGCAAAAAUAUAUGUGUAUUGAAAUCUAAACAGGAUAUUGAUAAUCCCAUAGUCUUAAAUUCUAAUAUCUGGAAUAAGAACAUAAUUAUGUGAUUCUUUAG
RNAcentral lists this unclassified non-coding RNA (1949 nucleotides) under Hevea brasiliensis (rubber tree). Lineage: Eukaryota; Viridiplantae; Streptophyta; Magnoliopsida; Malpighiales; Euphorbiaceae. The record is from RNAcentral.